Long non-coding RNA from Corythoichthys intestinalis (scribbled pipefish), 340 nucleotides. RefSeq lists it as uncharacterized. The transcript is spliced from 4 exons. The record is from RefSeq and is a predicted model, not a curated record. NCBI's taxonomy places the organism in Eukaryota, Metazoa, Chordata, Actinopteri, Syngnathiformes, Syngnathidae.
CCCCCCCCAAAAAAAAAGGAAAAAUAAAUCAACAAAAUUUCUGGCUCCGUGGCGACCUUCAUGUAGGGGAGUUCCGGCAAGAAAUUCUAGCCACUUUCACCCCUGCCUCCUGCCCGGCGGCCAGUGUGCAUCCAAGAAGGACUUUCGGUGUGAAGCUCCGUCUGAUGAUUGCUCCAUUCCCCCUGCCGAGCGGAGCUAAAUGAGAACUUCAGUAAAUGGGAAGGAGUUGGCGAUGUUUUCUCCCAUUUGCCGAGCGAUUCGUCUUCCUAUUUGGACUAAUGGGGAGCGCACCACUUCAGCAAUCCCCAAAGUGCUGCGGAAGCGCUUGCGACGUGCGCAG